Molecule: transfer RNA, 69 nt
Filed under: Eumenotes sp. HEM140
Lineage: Eukaryota; Metazoa; Arthropoda; Insecta; Hemiptera; Dinidoridae
Description: tRNA-Gln
Source: RNAcentral
UAUAUAUAAGUGUAAGAAGCACAUAAAGUUUUGAUCUUUAAGGGGUUAGUUUAAUUCUAACAUAUAUAA